RNAcentral lists this ribosomal RNA (393 nucleotides) under Uroglenopsis americana. RNAcentral's name for it is "partial small subunit ribosomal RNA". It matches the Rfam family "Eukaryotic small subunit ribosomal RNA", at positions 30 to 432 of the family's 1831-position model. The record is from RNAcentral. Lineage: Eukaryota; Chrysophyceae; Chromulinales; Chromulinaceae.
GCUUGUCUCAAAGAUUAAGCCAUGCAUGUCUAAGUAUAAACGAUUUUAUACGUGAAACUGCGAAUGGCUCAUUAUAUCAGUUAUAGUUUAUUUGAUGGUUCAUACUACUUGGAUAACCGUAGUAAUUCUAGAGCUAAUACAUGCGUCAAAAUCCGACUCCUGGGAGGGUUGUAUUUAUUAGAUGGAAACCAAUGCGGGGCAACCCGGUAUAUGGUGAUUCAUAAUAACUUUCGGAUCGAUCUUCGGAUCGAUGCAUCAUUCAAGUUUCUGCCCUAUCAGCUUUGGAUGGUAGGGUAUUGGCCUACCAUGGCUUUAACGGGUAACGGAGAAUUAGGGUUCGAUUCCGGAGAGGGAGCCUGAGAAAUGGCUACCACAUCCAAGGAAGGCAGCAGG